AAGUCGUAACAAGGUUUCCGUAGGUGAACCUGCGGAAGGAUCAUUACCAGAAAGUACGCCGGGCGAAAGCCCGCAAGUACCUCAACCCUUUCCGUGUACCGUUACCAUGUUGCCUUCCGUGAGGUCGAUGGGGGGCUUGAGGGUGGGGGGGAACCCCCACCAGCUCCUUUGAGGCGCGAGGUCACACAUGUGUGCGUGUGCGGCCGAACCUCAAGCCCACGGAGGGGCUACAACCCGAACCCUUUUGCUUCGAAAAACCUGUAGCUUGUCUGAGCUUGCAAAAUGAAAACAAUAAAGUCAAAACUUUCAACAACGGAUCUCUUGGUUCCC
RNAcentral lists this unclassified non-coding RNA (330 nucleotides) under fungal sp. RNAcentral's name for it is "partial internal transcribed spacer region". The stretch from base 1 to 46 matches the Rfam family "Eukaryotic small subunit ribosomal RNA", at positions 1786 to 1831 of the family's 1831-position model. Lineage: Eukaryota; Fungi. The record is from RNAcentral.